Molecule: ribosomal RNA, 553 nt
Filed under: uncultured fungus
Lineage: Eukaryota; Fungi
Description: eukaryotic LSU rRNA
Rfam family: 5.8S ribosomal RNA (bases 24-177)
Source: RNAcentral
CUCGCGUAUAACGCAAUAAAUACAACUUUCAGCAACGGAUCUCUUGGCUCUCGCAUCGAUGAAGAACGCAGCGAAAUGCGAUAAGUAAUGUGAAUUGCAGAAUUCAGUGAAUCAUCGAAUCUUUGAACGCACCUUGCGCUCCUUGGUAUUCCGAGGAGCAUGCCUGUUUGAGUGUCAUGGUAUUCUCAACUCUACAAAGCUUUUGCAAUGAAGAGUUGGAUUUGGAGGCUUGUGUUGGCUCGAAAGAGUUGACUCCUCUGAAACGCAUUAGUGUGAGCCUUUACGGAUCGCCUCCAGUGUGAUAAUGUCUACGCUGUGGUGUUGAAGUAUUUCUAGUGUUCAUGCUUCUAAUCGUCCUCUUGGGACAAUCAUUUGACAAUCUGACCUCAAAUCAGGUAGGACUACCCGCUGAACUUAAGCAUAUCAAUAAGCGGAGGAAAAGAAACUAACAAGGAUUCCCCUAGUAACUGCGAGUGAAGCGGGAAAAGCUCAAAUUUAAAAUCUGGCAGUCUUUGGCUGUCCGAGUUGUAAUCUGGAGAAGCGUCUUCCGUGC